AGUGAACGCUGGCGGUAGGCCUAACACAUGCAAGUCGAACGGCAGCACAGUAAGAGCUUGCUCUUACGGGUGGCGAGUGGCGGACGGGUGAGGAAUACAUCGGAAUCUACUUUUUCGUGGGGGAUAACGUAGGGAAACUUACGCUAAUACCGCAUACGACCUACGGGUGAAAGCAGGGGAUCUUCGGACCUUGCGCGAUUGAAUGAGCCGAUGUCGGAUUAGCUAGUUGGCGGGGUAAAGGCCCACCAAGGCGACGAUCCGUAGCUGGUCUGAGAGGAUGAGCAGCAACAGGGGAACGGAGACAAGGGGGGGCAACCGACGGGCAGCAGCAGUGGGGUAGGUGGGACAAGGUGCGCAAGACUGAGCGAGCAAUACCGCGUGGAGGAAGACGGCAUUCGGGUACUAAAGCUGUUGGGGGGCAAAAAAAAAGAAACAGGUGAAUACCCCGGUGUAAGCACCGGACGUAAAGAAGAAGACACGGCGCUCUUCGUC
Molecule: ribosomal RNA, 492 nt
Filed under: uncultured bacterium
Lineage: Bacteria
Description: partial 16S ribosomal RNA
Rfam family: Bacterial small subunit ribosomal RNA
Source: RNAcentral